GACGAACGCUGGCGGCACGCCUAACACAUGCAAGUCGAGCGGAGAUUGAGAGCUUGCUCUCAUGAUCAGCGGCGGACGGGUGAGUAACACGUGAGCAACCUGCCUUUCAGAGGGGGACAACAGUUGGAAACGACUGCUAAUACCGCAUAACAUUGCCGAACGGCAUCGUUUGGCAAUCAAAGGAGCAAUCCGCUGAAAGAUGGGCUCGCGUCUGAUUAGAUAGUUGGUGAGGUAACGGCUCACCAAGUCGACGAUCAGUAGCCGGACUGAGAGGAUGAACGGCCACAUUGGGACUGAGACACGGCCCAAACUCCUACGGGAGGCAGCAGUGGGGAAUAUUGCACAAUGGGGGAAACCCUGAUGCAGCGACGCCGCGUGAGUGAUGAAGUAUUUCGGUAAUGUAAAAACUCUAUCAGCAGGGAAGAUAAAUGACGGUACCU
RNAcentral lists this ribosomal RNA (440 nucleotides) under uncultured bacterium. RNAcentral's name for it is "bacterial SSU rRNA". It matches the Rfam family "Bacterial small subunit ribosomal RNA", at positions 28 to 480 of the family's 1533-position model. The record is from RNAcentral.